CUCUGUUUGCCAAAUAAAUCCUUACGGUUAAGUUUAACCCCAAAUAUCUAUGGUGGACCAACCUUAAGAGUGGUCCACCAUAGAUCGUAUUAAAUUGUUAAUUUAAAUCGUUUGAUCUAUUUUUUAAAAAGAUAACCAUAGGAUUAUGCAUGUCUAUUGUAACUUACAGUGUACCAACAACUAUCAACAACACAUAAUUUAAUCACCAAAAUUAGGGUUCUUAUUAUUUCUUCUUUCUUCCUUCCACCUCUCCUCUUUCUUUCCUCUCCUUCAACCUUCAAAAUCGAAUUUGAAUUUGAAUUCAUAAGUUUUAUAUUCAACUCAGCAAAUUAAACACAUUGAACAAGAAAAAAACCCAGCAACACCUUGAACAAGAAAAGAUCUAGCAACGUACAAAAAUUCAAUGAAUCACUAAGAACAAAACAUGAGAACCCAGCAACAUCUUCAAGAUUUUCACGAUUUGUGGUUCGAACAACACAUAAACCCAGCAACACUUUGUGGUUCGAACAGAACCGGCCAUCUUCCGACAGUACCCUUUCUUCCAGUUUGAACAGAGCCGAUCAUCUUCAUCAACUUUUCACGAUUCUUCCGAUGGAAUGAGGGUAAAAGAAGAAAUCAAAAUUGGAGGUUUGGAAAAAAGGUUGUGUUGCUAUGGAAAGAAGAUUGUUUAGAUAAGAAGAUUGUGUUGCUGUGUUGAGGAAAAACAGAAAAAGAAGAAAAAGAAAGAAAGAGGAAAACGAAGAAGAAAGAAGAAGGAAGAAUGGAAAGGAGAGGGAAUGAGAGAACUAAAAAGGGUUUUGUUUUAAUUUAUUUUUCUGCCCCCUUUUUGUGAUGAGAAUUUUUUUUAUGGAUUUUUGUUGUUGUUGUUGUUGUUAUGAAUGAGAAGGAGGAAAUAAUUUUUUGGAUUUUUAUUUAUUUUUUAUGGUUUUUUUUUUUGGGUAAGUUUCAAGAUUUUUAUUAAGAAAUGAAUUUGAUUCAUUAAGAUGAUGAAGAGGAUGAAGAAAGAAAGAGUUGUUGUUUAUACACUGUAAGUUACAAUAGACACGCAUAAUCCAAUGGUCAUCUUUUUAAAAAACUGAUCAAAGGGUUUAAAUUAAAAAAAUUUAAUAAGGUCUAUGGUGGACCACUUUUAAGGUUGGUCCAUCAUAUACAUCAUUUGGGG
This 1162-nucleotide long non-coding RNA is filed under the name Medicago truncatula (barrel medic). RNAcentral's name for it is "long non-coding RNA (MTRU_LNC007499)". The record is from RNAcentral. Lineage: Eukaryota; Viridiplantae; Streptophyta; Magnoliopsida; Fabales; Fabaceae.